Molecule: long non-coding RNA, 315 nt
Organism: Amphimedon queenslandica
Lineage: Eukaryota; Metazoa; Porifera; Demospongiae; Haplosclerida; Niphatidae
Exons: 3
Source: RefSeq, a predicted model, not a curated record
UGUGUCAUAGUUCUGCCUAUGGUGGUCAGCGGUGAUUGGGACAACCACUUCAACAAAUGAGCAACCAGUUCAUCACUUUGACGAGAUCACCAGCAGUGUUACAGCUCAAUGAUAAUUAGGAGUCCCAGUCCAGAGGCAUUAGUACAUACUACUAGAUAUGCUAGACCUUCAUCUCAGAGCAGCUACAUAUCAGAGGAUCUACAAACUAUAGCAUCAGUAGAAGAAACCAAGGGCAAGGGAAGCUAUAGCAAGUUUCAUUGUGUGUGUAUGGGAUGCCUGCUUGAGGUGAAGCUGAGGGCAGAUAUCAAGGGACCC